RNAcentral lists this non-coding RNA (24 nucleotides) under Arabidopsis thaliana (thale cress). Lineage: Eukaryota; Viridiplantae; Streptophyta; Magnoliopsida; Brassicales; Brassicaceae. The record is from RNAcentral.
UAUCACAUGCCAAGUUUGGCCUCA